UAACUAAACCGUACAUUCAACAG
RNAcentral lists this non-coding RNA (23 nucleotides) under Arabidopsis thaliana (thale cress). The record is from RNAcentral. Lineage: Eukaryota; Viridiplantae; Streptophyta; Magnoliopsida; Brassicales; Brassicaceae.